AGUGAACGCUGGCGGCAGGCCUAACACAUGCAAGUCGAACGGCAGCACAAGAGAGCUUGCGCUCUGGGUGGCGGGUGGCGGACGGGUGAGGAAUGCAUCGGAAUCUGCCCAUUUGUGGGGGAUAACCUCGGGAAACCGGGACUAAUACCGCAUACGACCUACUGGUGAAAGCAGGUGAUCUUCGGACCUUGCGCGGAUGGAUGAGCCGAUGCCGGAUUAGCUAGUUGGAGGGGUAAAGGCCCACCAAGGCGACGAUCCGUAGCUGGUCUGAGAGGAUGAUCAGCCACACUGGGACUGAGACACGGCCCAGACUCCUACGGGAGGCAGCAGUGGGGAAUAUUGGACAAUGGGCGCAAGCCUGAUCCAGCCAUGCCGCGUGUGUGAAGAAGGCCUUCGGGUUGUAAAGCACUUUUGUUGGGAAAGAAAAGCAGCCGGUUAAUACCCGGUUGUCAUGACGGUACCCAAAGAAUAAGCACCGGCUAACUUCGUG
This 490-nucleotide ribosomal RNA is filed under the name uncultured bacterium. RNAcentral's name for it is "partial 16S ribosomal RNA". It matches the Rfam family "Bacterial small subunit ribosomal RNA", at positions 29 to 507 of the family's 1533-position model. The record is from RNAcentral.